GAUGAACGCUGGCGGCGUGCCUAAUACAUGCAAGUCGAGCGAACGGACGCGACGUUUGCUUCUCUGUUGUUAGCGGCGGACGUGUGUGUCACACGUGUAUCACCCACCUAUCUGUCUGAGAUCACUUCGGGACACCGGCGCUUAUCCCGUAUAAUCUUCUGCACCGCAUGGUUCAAUAGUGAAAUACGGUCUUGCUGUCUCUUCUCGAUGGAUCCGCGCUGCAUUAGCUAGUUGUUAAGGUCACGGCUUACCACGGCAACGAUGCAUAGCCGACCUGAGAGGGUGAUAGGCCACACGGGAAGUGAGACACGGACAAGACUACUACGGGAGGCCGCAGUAGGGAAUGUUACGCAAUGGGCGAAAGCAUGACGGAGCAACGGCGAGUGAGAGAUGAAGAUCUUCGGAUCGUAAAAAUCUGUUAUUAGGGAAGAACAGAUGUGGAAGUAAAUGAGCAGAGAGUGACGGUACCUAAUAAGAAAGCAACGGCUAACUACGUG
RNAcentral lists this ribosomal RNA (497 nucleotides) under uncultured bacterium. Its description in RNAcentral is "partial 16S ribosomal RNA". It matches the Rfam family "Bacterial small subunit ribosomal RNA", at positions 28 to 507 of the family's 1533-position model. The record is from RNAcentral.